This 400-nucleotide ribosomal RNA is filed under the name Filosa sp. Its description in RNAcentral is "partial small subunit ribosomal RNA". It matches the Rfam family "Eukaryotic small subunit ribosomal RNA", at positions 582 to 975 of the family's 1831-position model. Lineage: Eukaryota; Cercozoa. The record is from RNAcentral.
AUUCCAGCUCCAAUAGCGUAUAUUAAAGUUGUUGCAGUUAAAAAGCUCGUAGUUGGAUUUCUGGUUAGAUGCGCCUGGCCCGCCGACGUUCAGUCGUGUGAAGUGCUGGUGCGCAACUGCCAUCCUUCUAGAGAAGGGACCAACGGUUCAUUCCGGUUCGGUUCACAAUCUAGAUCUUUUACUUUGAAAAAAUUAGAGUGUUUAAAGCAGGCUUUUGCUAUGAAUACAUUAGCAUGGAAUAAUAAUUUAGGACUCUGUUUCUAUUUUGUUGGUUUCCGGAAACGGAGUAAUGAUUGAUAGGGAUUGUUGGGGGUGCUAGUAUUCAGCGGCCAGAGGUGAAAUUCUCGGAUUCGCUGAAGACUAACUUAUACGAAAGCAUUCACCAAGGAAGUCUUCAUUA